RNAcentral lists this ribosomal RNA (484 nucleotides) under uncultured bacterium. RNAcentral's name for it is "partial 16S ribosomal RNA". It matches the Rfam family "Bacterial small subunit ribosomal RNA", at positions 30 to 507 of the family's 1533-position model. The record is from RNAcentral.
AUUGAACGCUGGCGGCAGGCCUAACACAUGCAAGUCGAGCGGAUGAAGGGAGCUUGCUCCUGGAUUCAGCGGCGGACGGGUGAGUAAUGCCUAGGAAUCUGCCUUGUAGUGGGGGAUAACGUCCGGAAACGGGCGCUAAUACCGCAUACGUCCUGAGGGAGAAAGUGGGGGAUCUUCGGACCGCACGCUAUCAGAUGAGCCUAGGUCGGAUUAGCUAGUUGGUGGGGUAACGGCCUACCAAGGCGACUAUCCGUAACUGGUCUGAGAGGAUGAUCCGUCAGCCUGGAACUGAGACACGGUCGCGACUCCUGCGGGAGGCAGCAGUGGGGAAUCUUGGGCAAGGGGGGAAAGCCUGAUCCAGCCAUGCCGCGUGUGUGAAGAAGGUCUUCUGAUUGUAAAGCGCUUUAAGUUGGGAGGAAGGGCAGUAAGUUAAUACCUUGCUGUUUUGACGUUACCAACAGAAUAAGCACCGGCUAACUUCGUG